Molecule: transfer RNA, 68 nt
Filed under: Lateolabrax japonicus (Japanese seabass)
Lineage: Eukaryota; Metazoa; Chordata; Actinopteri; Acropomatiformes; Lateolabracidae
Description: tRNA-Ser(AGY)
Source: RNAcentral
GAGAGAGGCUCGCCAGCAACGAAAACUGCUAAUUUACGUCCCCCCGGUUGAACCCCGGGGCUCACUCG